AUACGGAGGGUGCAAGCGUUACUCGGAAUCACUGGGCGUAAAGCGCGCGCAGGCGGGCUGAUAAGUUGGAUGUGAAAGCCUACGGCUCAACCGUAGAACUGCAUCCAAAACUGUCAGUCUAGAGUGUGGGAGAGGAAGAUGGAAUUAGUUGUGUAGGGGUAAAAUCCGUAGAGAUAACUAGGAAUACCAAAAGCGAAGGCAAUCUUCUGGAACACUGCUGACGCUGAGGCGCGAAGGCGUGGGGAGCAAACAGGAUUAGAAACCCCAGUAGUCC
Molecule: ribosomal RNA, 274 nt
Filed under: uncultured bacterium
Lineage: Bacteria
Description: partial 16S ribosomal RNA
Rfam family: Bacterial small subunit ribosomal RNA
Source: RNAcentral